RNAcentral lists this ribosomal RNA (253 nucleotides) under uncultured bacterium. Its description in RNAcentral is "partial 16S ribosomal RNA". It matches the Rfam family "Bacterial small subunit ribosomal RNA", at positions 524 to 776 of the family's 1533-position model. The record is from RNAcentral.
UACGUAGGGUGCGAGCGUUAAUCGGAAUUACUGGGCGUAAAGCGUGCGCAGGCGGCUUUGCAAGACAGAUGUGAAAUCCCCGGGCUCAACCUGGGAACUGCAUUUGUGACUGCAAGGCUAGAGUAUGGCAGAGGGGGAUGGAAUUCCGCGUGUAGCAGUGAAAUGCGUAGAUAUGCGGAGGAACGCCAAUGGCGAAGGCAAUCCCCUGGGACUGUACUGACGCUCAUGCACGAAAGCGUGGGGAGCAAACAGG